This 847-nucleotide ribosomal RNA is filed under the name uncultured marine microorganism. Its description in RNAcentral is "bacterial SSU rRNA". It matches the Rfam family "Bacterial small subunit ribosomal RNA", at positions 8 to 899 of the family's 1533-position model. The record is from RNAcentral.
AGAGUUUGAUCAUGGCUCAGGAUGAACGCUGGCGGUAUGCCUAACACAUGCAAGUCGAACGAUGUCUUCGGACAUAGUGGCGGACGGGUGAGUAACGCGUGAGAAUCUGCCUCUAGGAUGGGGAUAACGGUUGGAAACGACCGCUAACACCCAAUAUGCCGUAAGGUGAAAAAUUUAUUGCCUGGAGAGGAGCUCGCGUCUGAUUAGCUAGUUGGUGGGGUAAGAGCUCACCAAGGCUUCGAUCAGUAGCUGGUCUGAGAGGAUGAGCAGCCACACUGGGACUGAGACACGGCCCAGACUCCUACGGGAGGCAGCAGUGGGGAAUUUUCCGCAAUGGGCGAAAGCCUGACGGAGCAAUACCGCGUGAGGGAGGAAUGCCUUUGGGUUGUAAACCUCUUUUCUCAGGGAAGAAGAUCUGACGGUACCUGAGGAAUAAGUAUCGGCUAACUCCGUGCCAGCAGCCGCGGUAAUACGGAGGAUGCAAGCGUUAUCCGGAAUCAUUGGGCGUAAAGCGUCCGCAGGUGGUUUCCAAAGUCUGCUGUUAAAGACUGGAGCUCAACUCCGGAACGGCGGUGGAAACUUGGAAACUAGAGUUCGGUAGGGGUAGCAGGAAUUCCCAGUGUAGCGGUGAAAUGCGUAGAUAUUGGGAAGAACAUCGGUGGCGAAGGCGUGCUACUGGACCGUAACUGACACUCAGGGACGAAAGCUAGGGGAGCGAAAGGGAUUAGAUACCCCUGUAGUCCUAGCUGUAAACGAUGGAAACUAGGUGUGGCUUGUAUCGACCCGAGCCGUGCCGUAGCUAACGCGUUAAGUUUCCCGCCUGGGGAGUACGCACGCNAGUGUGAAA